UACAGAGGGGGCAAGCGUUGUUCGGAAUUACUGGGCGUAAAGGGCGCGUAGGCGGCCUGUUAAGUCAGACGUGAAAUCCCUCGGCUCAACCGGGGAACUGCGUCCGAUACUGGCGGGCUUGAAUUCGGGAGAGGGAUGUGGAAUUCCAGGUGUAGCGGUGAAAUGCGUAGAUAUCUGGAGGAACACCGGUGGCGAAGGCGGCAUCCUGGACCGACAUUGACGCUGAGGCGCGAAAGCCAGGGGAGCAAACGGG
RNAcentral lists this ribosomal RNA (253 nucleotides) under uncultured bacterium. RNAcentral describes it as "partial 16S ribosomal RNA". It matches the Rfam family "Bacterial small subunit ribosomal RNA", at positions 524 to 776 of the family's 1533-position model. The record is from RNAcentral.